RNAcentral lists this long non-coding RNA (274 nucleotides) under Crocodylus porosus (Australian saltwater crocodile). Its description in RNAcentral is "lncRNA (ENSCPRG00005000308.1)". Lineage: Eukaryota; Metazoa; Chordata; Crocodylia; Crocodylidae. The record is from RNAcentral.
GCCAGCGUUCCAGUGGUGGCUGCAGAGAGAAAUUGUCUCAAAUUUGCUCACAGUAGAGAGGAUAAAACAGCAUCCAGGGCAUCCUGGAGUUGGGCAUGCGGAACAGAUGAUGGCUCAUGUAGGCUCAGGUCCUAAGCUGAGAAGUGUCAAGAGGAGGAUCCGGUCGAGGGCCUCCUGGUGCUAAGUACUCUUCUUGCAUAACACAAAAAUGGUCCUUGCCAAUGUUGAGCCCAAAGUCUGGGAGAGGGAUGCAACCCUGGUAUUAGGUCCAGAA